This 230-nucleotide ribosomal RNA is filed under the name uncultured bacterium. Its description in RNAcentral is "partial 16S ribosomal RNA". It matches the Rfam family "Bacterial small subunit ribosomal RNA", at positions 335 to 582 of the family's 1533-position model. The record is from RNAcentral.
GAGCCUACGGGGGGCAGCAGUGGGGGAUAUUGCACAAUGGGGGGAACCCUGAUGCAGCGACGCCGCGUGGGUGAAGGAGCGUUUCGGCGCGUAAAGCCCUAUCGGCAGGGAAGAAGAUGACGGUACCUGACCAAGAAGCCCCGGCUAAGUACGUGCCAGCAGACGCGGGAAUAAGCAGGGGGCAGGCGUUAUCCGGAUUUACUGGGGGUAAAGGUGGCGCAGACGGGAAU